GGAUGUGAGGGCAAUCUGGCUGUGACAUAUGUACAUCUGUCACCCUCCUGAUCUCCAGGGCUGCUUUGGCGGACCUGGCUGACCUGGCUGACUAGGCAGGUGUCCCUUUCCUCCCUCAUUGCUCCAUGUAUGUCCCUCCUGAAGCUUCAUGAUUGGUCAGAGAGGACGAAGGACCGUUUCUUUGGUAUACAAGGAUAUACGAGUAGCUGCACUCCCCUGAUAGAACUUCCAAACAAGCUUCCAAAAGUCCUGUGAGCGUAUAAGAUCUUUGGGAGACAUUUUCAAUCUAAACUGUUACAUUCUGUCCCUGGCUGCCAAAAGAC
RNAcentral lists this small nuclear RNA (323 nucleotides) under Heterocephalus glaber (naked mole-rat). RNAcentral describes it as "7SK RNA". It matches the Rfam family "7SK RNA". From Rfam's summary of the family: 7SK was discovered as an abundant small nuclear RNA in the mid-70s but a possible function has only recently been suggested. Two independent studies have found that 7SK RNA binds the CDK9/cyclin T complex (known as elongation factor P-TEFb). Lineage: Eukaryota; Metazoa; Chordata; Mammalia; Rodentia; Bathyergidae. The record is from Rfam by way of RNAcentral.